This 400-nucleotide ribosomal RNA is filed under the name uncultured bacterium. RNAcentral describes it as "bacterial SSU rRNA". It matches the Rfam family "Bacterial small subunit ribosomal RNA", at positions 356 to 773 of the family's 1533-position model. The record is from RNAcentral.
GGGGAAUAUUGCACAAUGGGCGAAAGCCUGAUGCAGCAACGCCGCGUGGAGGAUGAAGGCCUUCGGGUUGUAAACUCUUGUCUUCUGGGACGAUAAUGACGGUACCAGAGGAGGAAGCCACGGCUAACUACGUGCCAGCAGCCGCGGUAAUACGUAGGUGGCGAGCGUUGUCCGGAUUCACUGGGCGUAAAGGAUGCGUAGGCGGAUAUUUAAGUGAGAUGUGAAAUACCCGGGCUUAACUUGGGUGCUGCAUUUCAAACUGGAUAUCUAGAGUGCGGGAGAGGAAAGUGGAAUUCCUAGUGUAGCGGUGAAAUGCGUAGAGAUUAGGAAGAACACCAGUGGCGAAGGCGACUUUCUGGACCGUAACUGACGCUGAGGCAGGAAAGCGUGGGGAGCAAAC